This 90-nucleotide transfer RNA is filed under the name Alphaproteobacteria bacterium. Its description in RNAcentral is "tRNA-Ser". It matches the Rfam family "tRNA". From Rfam's summary of the family: Transfer RNA (tRNA) molecules are approximately 80 nucleotides in length. RNAcentral also lists the same sequence under 1 other name. The record is from RNAcentral. Lineage: Bacteria; Pseudomonadati; Pseudomonadota; Alphaproteobacteria.
GGAGGGGUGGCCGAGUGGUCGAAGGCGCACGCCUGGAAAGUGUGUAGGCGGGGAACCGUCUCGAGGGUUCGAAUCCCUCUCCCUCCGCCA